UUGGGCGUAAAGAGCUCGUAGGCGGUUUGUCGCGUCUGCUGUGAAAUCCCGAGGCUCAACCUCGGGCCUGCAGUGGGUACGGGCAGACUAGAGUGCGGUAGGGGAGAUUGGAAUUCCUGGUGUAGCGGUGGAAUGCGCAGAUAUCAGGAGGAACACCGAUGGCGAAGGCAGAUCUCUGGGCCGUAACUGACGCUGAGGAGCGAAAGGGUGGGGAGCAAACAGGCUUAGAUACCCUGGUAGUCCACCCCGUAAACGUUGGGAACUAGUUGUGGGGUCCUUUCCACGGAUUCCGUGACGCAGCUAACGCAUUAAGUUCCCCGCCUGGGGAGUACGGCCGCAAGGCUAAAACUCAAAGGAAUUGACGGGGACCCGCACAAGCGGCGGAGCAUGCGGAUUAAUUCGAUGCAACGCGAAGAACCUUACCAAGGCUUGACAUACACGAGAACGGGCCAGAAAUGGUCAACUCUUUGGACACUCGUGAACAGGUGGUGCAUGGUUGUCGUCAGCUCGUGUCGUGAGAUGUUGGGUUAAGUCCCGCAACGAGCGCAACCCUCGUUCUAUGUUGCCAGCACGUAAUGGUGGGAACUCAUGGGAUACUGCCGGGGUCAACUCGGAGGAAGGUGGGGAUGACGUC
RNAcentral lists this ribosomal RNA (634 nucleotides) under uncultured bacterium. Its description in RNAcentral is "bacterial SSU rRNA". It matches the Rfam family "Bacterial small subunit ribosomal RNA", at positions 554 to 1186 of the family's 1533-position model. The record is from RNAcentral.